UCACCACCUCACUCUCCGCGGUGCACGGAACCUCCCAACCCCCCGACAGCGUCCUGCUGGUCAUGGUGGUUACUAUCGUGGCGGCGCCCCAGCCAUGGUGAUCAAAUCCUGUACCGAGCCGGAUCCGGUGCGCUGCGUUGUCUACGGCAGAGCUGUCGACACGCACACGACGCGUGCUGCUAGCACGAUGGUACCUGACAUCGGCCAGUACAUCAGUGCCAGCCAUUUGCUUGCAGGUGUGAACUAGAGGCCCGGUGUCCGCAGGCGUUGCCAGCUCUUUUGCAGCUGCGUGGCACCCCGUCGAGGACAAGCUCCAGUUCUGCAAGUUCAUUCCGGAAUAUUCAAAAUCAGAUUGCCAAGGAUAUGGAGGCUUCUGACCACCGUUGGCACAACAAUCUUGUUAUCCACCUAUAGGUUGCAUUGGAAGCACUUGUAGUGAUCUUAGACUUCUUCACAAAGGCAACCCUAGAAAUUCGACAAGAGCUUCUUCACCUUAAACAAAUUGGAAUGGUUCAUAGUUCUAAAAGUAUGAUGGAGGGCCUGAGGCCUGAGCGUUUGUCCAAUCAAGAGGUCAGGGUCUAGCAAAGGUUACGGACAUUGCAUCUCAGUUUGAUACUGCAAGACUGCAAAUGACUAAUUUCGAGGGUUGCAAUUGUGUUUAAUUUCAGUAUCAGUUUGAGUCCACUAAUUAAUUAUUCAACUUGAUUAUUUUUUCCAUUAGGGACACAAUAGAAUGAACUAGAGAAUUGGAUUCAAAGGAAGUGUUAGAGCAACUGCCAGCAUUGCAGCAGUUAUUAUAUCGGCUUGUUGGAUGCCUGGUGAUUAUCUCUUGUAUCUUUUGGUUAUCAGCCUGAAGGAACUGCAAAUAACAACUACUUGGUGAAAUACGCACUAGCUUUAGUAAGUUCUGCUCUUUUGUUCGAUUUGUCUGUACUAUAGUGUGCCACAUCUGCGCUUUUAGGUUUGAAAGCAAUAAUUUUAAC
Panicum virgatum (switchgrass) is the source of this 983-nucleotide long non-coding RNA. RefSeq lists it as uncharacterized. NCBI's taxonomy places the organism in Eukaryota, Viridiplantae, Streptophyta, Magnoliopsida, Poales, Poaceae. The record is from RefSeq and is a predicted model, not a curated record. The transcript is spliced from 4 exons.